Musa acuminata subsp. malaccensis (wild Malaysian banana) is the source of this 859-nucleotide long non-coding RNA. RefSeq lists it as uncharacterized. NCBI's taxonomy places the organism in Eukaryota, Viridiplantae, Streptophyta, Magnoliopsida, Zingiberales, Musaceae. The record is from RefSeq and is a predicted model, not a curated record.
UUCAGUUUGUUUCGACUCAAGUCCGAUCGACUCGGCCGGAAGCCCACCGAAGGCCCUAAAGCCUGUGUGUUUUGGGGCAGCAGUCGCGGGUCGCCGCCAAGUUCCUCCAAGAGAGGGAGAAGGCCCACGGGAACCCGCAAGGUGGCCAUUCAACUGGAUCGAGGGCGCCAACCCUCCAGCUUGCCGCCUCUGCCUUUCGCAACCUCGUCGACGACUCCUUUGAUCCCGUCGAACACCGGGCCGGACGGUGGUUGAUUGAUGCUUUGGGUAUUCAUGGUCGAGCAUGAGCUUGCAUUACUUGUCUAUCACUGAGUUCAAACUCACUCUUUUCUACAUUUAUGAUUAAUUUCCAACAGAAGCUGAUGAAGGGAGCCCAUUUUAGUCCUCGAUGCCUCUUAUAUUGAUUGCAUAAACCAACAUGCACUGUGAAGAUGAAGACUAGGAGGAAGAAGAACAAAACCAUGCUGAUUUUGGGAGUGUUGGGGGUCGGAUCAUUUAGAUCAGUAUAGAGGGGAAGGCAAAUUAAAUUUGAUAUGAGCGCGUGGUAGUCACAGAAACUAAGAAUCAGACUCUUCAUCUCCAGGCUCGCUGGUCUCCUUGGGAUGACCUUUGUCCAUUUUAAACAUCAUACAUACUUCUUGGGAGUCCUCAUUCUUUUCUGUUGUAACUUCUAGCUAUUACCUUGUACACAGAUGUUACUGUAUGAAUAGUCUCUUAUUAAUUAAGAAAGGAAGAAUUCGUAGCUUUCUUUAGUUAUACAUAGUGUUGGAAAAUCAUCAUUGCUCUCACAUAAAGAGGGGAAUGGCAAUUCAUUGUUAUUUUCUGAGCUUUGAUGUCUUUUUGCUUCUUUCAGUCUCAU